GUCGAGCGGAUGAGUGGAGCUUGCUCCAUGAUUCAGCGGCGGACGGGUGAGUAAUGCCUAGGAAUCUGCCUGGUAGUGGGGGACAACGUUUCGAAAGGAACGCUAAUACCGCAUACGUCCUACGGGAGAAAGUGGGGGAUCUUCGGACCUCACGCUAUCAGAUGAGCCUAGGUCGGAUUAGCUAGUUGGUGAGGUAAAGGCUCACCAAGGCGACGAUCCGUAACUGGUCUGAGAGGAUGAUCAGUCACACUGGAACUGAGACACGGUCCAGACUCCUACGGGAGGCAGCAGUGGGGAAUAUUGGACAAUGGGCGAAAGCCUGAUCCAGCCAUGCCGCGUGUGUGAAGAAGGUCUUCGGAUUGUAAAGCACUUUAAGUUGGGAGGAAGGGCAGUAAGUUAAUACCUUGCUGUUUUGACGUUACCAACAGAAUAAGCACCGGCUAACUUCGUGCCAGCAGCCGCGGUAAUACGAAGGGUGCAAGCGUUAAUCGGAAUUACUGGGCGUAAAGCGCGCGUAGGUGGUUCGUUAAGUUGGAUGUGAAAGCCCCGGGCUCAACCUGGGAACUGCAUCCAAAACUGGCGAGCUAGAGUAUGGCAGAGGGUGGUGGAAUUUCCUGUGUAGCGGUGAAAUGCGUAGAUAUAGGAAGGAACACCAGUGGCGAAGGCGACCACCUGGGCUAAUACUGACACUGAGGU
This 696-nucleotide ribosomal RNA is filed under the name Stutzerimonas stutzeri. Its description in RNAcentral is "bacterial SSU rRNA". It matches the Rfam family "Bacterial small subunit ribosomal RNA", at positions 61 to 752 of the family's 1533-position model. The record is from RNAcentral. Lineage: Bacteria; Pseudomonadati; Pseudomonadota; Gammaproteobacteria; Pseudomonadales; Pseudomonadaceae.